This 499-nucleotide ribosomal RNA is filed under the name uncultured bacterium. RNAcentral describes it as "partial 16S ribosomal RNA". It matches the Rfam family "Bacterial small subunit ribosomal RNA", at positions 899 to 1397 of the family's 1533-position model. The record is from RNAcentral.
ACUCAAAGGAAUAGACGGGGGCCCGCACAAGCGGUGGAUCAUGUGGUUUAAUUCGAAGCAACGCGAAAAACCUUACCUGGGUUUGACAUCCCCGGACAACCGUAGAAAUACGGCUUUAGUAGCAAUACUACCGGGUGACAGGUGCUGCAUGGCUGUCGUCAGCUCGUGUGGUGACAUGUUGGGUUAAGUCCCGCAACGAGCGCAACCCUUAUCUUUAGUUGCCAGCAUUCAGUUGGGCUCUCUAGAGAGACUGCCGUGGUUAACACGGAGGAAGGUGGGGAUGACGUCAAGUCCUCAUGGCCUUUAUAUCCAGGGCGACACACGUGAUACAAUGGACGGUACAGAGGGACGCCAACCCGCGAGGGGGAGCAAAUCUCAAAAAGCCGUUCUCAGUUCGGAUUGGAGUCUGCAACUCGACUCCAUGAAGUUGGAAUCGCUAGUAAUCGAGGAUCAGCACGCCUCGGUGAAUACGUUCCCGGGCCUUGCACACACCGCCCGU